AUGGAGCUCCUCCCGCCACUGCCUCAGUCCUUCCUGUUGCUGCUGCUGUUGCCUGCCGAGCCUGCGGCGGGCGAGGACUGGCAGUGCCCGCGCACACCCUACGCGGCCUCUCGCGACUUUGACGUGAAGUACGUGGUGCCCAGCUUCUCCGCCGGAGGCCUGGUACAGGCCAUGGUGACCUACGAGGGCGACAGAAAUGAGAGUGCUGUGUUUGUAGCCAUACGCAAUCGCCUGCAUGUGCUUGGGCCUGACCUGAAGUCUGUCCAGAGCCUGGCCACGGGUCCUGCUGGGGACCCUGGCUGCCAGACGUGUGCAGCCUGUGGCUCAGGCCCCCACGGCCCUCCCGGUGACACAGACACAAAGGUGCUGGUGCUAGAGCCCGCGCUGCCUGCGCUGGUCAGUUGUGGCUCCAGCCUGCAGGGCCGCUGCUUCCUGCAUGACCUAGAGCCCCAAGGGACAGCCGUGCAUCUGGCAGCACCAGCCUGCCUCUUCUCAGCCCACCAUAACCGGCCCGAUGACUGCCCUGACUGUGUGGCCAGCCCAUUGGGCACCCGUGUGACUGUGGUUGAGCAAGGCCAGGCCUCCUAUUUCUACGUGGCAUCCUCACUGGACGCAGCCGUGGCUGCCAGCUUCAGCCCACGCUCAGUGUCUAUCAGGCGUCUCAAGGCUGACGCCUCGGGAUUCGCACCGGGCUUUGUGGCGUUGUCAGUGCUGCCCAAGCAUCUUGUCUCCUACAGUAUUGAAUACGUGCACAGCUUCCACACGGGAGCCUUCGUAUACUUCCUGACUGUACAGCCGGCCAGCGUGACAGAUGCUCCUAGUGCCCUGCACACACGCCUGGCACGGCUUAGCGCCACUGAGCCAGAGUUGGGUGACUAUCGGGAGCUGGUCCUCGACUGCAGAUUUGCUCCAAAACGCAGGCGCCGGGGGGCCCCAGAGGGCGGACAGCCCUACCCUGUGCUGCGGGUGGCCCACUCCGCUCCAGUGGGUGCCCAGCUUGCCACUGAGCUGAGCAUCGCUGAGGGUCAGGAAGUGCUAUUUGGGGUCUUUGUGGCUGGCAAGGAUGGUGGUCCUGGCGUGGGCCCCAACUCUGUCGUCUGUGCCUUCCCCAUUGACCUGCUGGACACACUAAUUGAUGAGGGUGUGGAACGCUGUUGUGAAUCCCCAGUCCAUCCAGGCCUCCGGCGAGGCCUCGACUUCUUCCAGUCGCCGAGUUUUUGCCCCAACCCGCCUGGCCUGGAGGCCCUCAGCCCCAACACCAGCUGCCGCCACUUCCCUCUGCUGGUCAGUAGCAGCUUCUCACGUGUGGACCUAUUCAAUGGGCUGUUGGGACCAGUACAGGUCACUGCAUUGUAUGUGACACGCCUUGACAACGUCACAGUGGCGCACAUGGGCACGAUGGAUGGGCGUAUCCUGCAGGUGGGUCCUCAUCCCCACAGCCCCCUGGCCCUGGGUCCUUGUCUCCAUCCCCAUUUUGCUCACAUCUGACCUGUCCUAGGUGGAGCUGGCCAGGUCACUCAACUACUUGCUGUAUGUGUCCAACUUCUCACUGGGUGACAGUGGGCAGCCCGUGCAGCGGGAUGUCAGUCGUCUCGGGGACCACCUACUCUUCGCCUCUGGGGACCAGGUUUUCCAGGUACCUAUCCGAGGCCCUGGCUGCCGCCACUUCCUCACCUGUGGGCGUUGCCUAAGGGCACAGCGUUUCAUGGGCUGUGGCUGGUGUGGGAACAUGUGUGGCCAGCAGAAGGAGUGUCCUGGCUCCUGGCAACAGGACCACUGCCCACCUAAGCUUACUGAGUUCCACCCCCACAGUGGACCUCUAAGGGGCAGUACAAGGCUGACCCUGUGUGGCUCCAACUUCUACCUGCACCCUUCUGGUCUGGUGCCUGAGGGAACCCAUCAGGUCACUGUGGGCCAAAGUCCCUGCUGGCCACUGCCCAAGGACAGCUCAAAACUCAGACCAGUGCCCCGGAAAGACUUUGUAGAGGAGUUUGAGUGUGAACUGGAGCCCUUGGGCACCCAGGCAGUGGGGCCUACCAACGUCAGCCUCACCGUGACUAACAUGCCACCGGGCAAGCACUUCCGGGUAGACGGCACCUCCGUGCUGAGAGGCUUCUCUUUCAUGGAGCCAGUGCUGAUAGCAGUGCAACCCCUCUUUGGCCCACGGGCAGGAGGCACCUGUCUCACUCUUGAAGGCCAGAGUCUGUCUGUAGGCACCAGCCGGGCUGUGCUGGUCAAUGGGACUGAGUGUCUGCUAGCACAGGUCAGUGAGGGGCAGCUUUUAUGUGCCACACCCCCUGGGGCCACAGUGGCCAGUGUCCCCCUUAGCCUGCAGGUGGGGGGUGCCCAGGUACCUGGUUCCUGGACCUUCCACUACAGAGAAGACCCUGUCGUGCUAAGCAUCAGCCCCAACUGUGGCUACAUCAACUCCCACAUCACCAUCUGUGGCCAGCAUCUAACUUCAGCAUGGCACUUAGUGCUGUCAUUCCAUGAUGGGCUUAGGGCAGUGGAAAGCAGGCAGUGUGAGAGGCAGCUUCCAGAGCAGCAGCUGUGCCGCCUUCCUGAAUAUGUGGUCCGAGACCCCCAGGGAUGGGUGGCAGGGAAUCUGAGUGCCCGGGGGGAUGGAGCUGCUGGCUUUACACUGCCUGGCUUUCGCUUCCUACCCCCACCCCAUCCACCCAGUGCCAACCUAGUUCCACUGAAGCCUGAGGAGCAUGCCAUUAAGUUCGAGGUAAGUGUAAGGGAUAGGGGCAGGAAGAGUUGGGGAUCUGAAAGUAAGGGCCAACCUACUGGCUGGUCCUCAUGA
This 2806-nucleotide small RNA is filed under the name Pongo abelii (Sumatran orangutan). RNAcentral's name for it is "retained intron". Lineage: Eukaryota; Metazoa; Chordata; Mammalia; Primates; Hominidae. The record is from RNAcentral.